This 468-nucleotide ribosomal RNA is filed under the name uncultured bacterium. Its description in RNAcentral is "partial 16S ribosomal RNA". It matches the Rfam family "Bacterial small subunit ribosomal RNA", at positions 28 to 507 of the family's 1533-position model. The record is from RNAcentral.
GAUGAACGCUGGCGGCGUGCCUAACACAUGCAAGUCGAACGGAAAGACCCUGCUUUUGUGGGGUGCUCGAUUGGGGAAGGCGGGAGUAACACGUGUGUAACAUGCACUUGUAUUUCGGAUAACAUCACGAAAAUGGGGCUAAUAUCGGAGAGGAUAUCCUGCACCGUGGUGGGCGUUGGAAAGUUUCGGCGUUUGGGGAUGUAAUGGCGGGUUAUGGGCUUGUUGGUGGGGUAGUGGCUUACCAAGGCUUUGAAGGGUAGCCGGCCUGGGAGCGUGAACGGCGUCAAUGGGACUGAGGGACGGCGCAGAGUGGUACGGUAGGCAGAAGGGGGGAGUAUUGCACAAUGGGCGGAAGCGUGAUGAAGAAGCGUCGCGUGCGGGAUGACGGCUUUCGGGGUGAAAACAGCUUUCGCCUGUGACGAAGCGUGAGUGACGGUAAUGAGUAAAGAAGCACCGGCUAACUACGUG